GAUGAACGCUGGCGGCGUGCCUAAUACAUGCAAGUCGAGCGAACAGACGAGGAGCUUGCUCCUCUGACGUUAGCGGCGGACGGGUGAGUAACACGUGGAUAACCUACCUAUAAGACUGGGAUAACUUCGGGAAACCGGAGCUAAUACCGGAUAAUAUAUUGAACCGCAUGGUUCAAUAGUGAAAGACGGUUUUGCUGUCACUUAUAGAUGGAUCCGCGCCGCAUUAGCUAGUUGGUAAGGUAACGGCUUACCCAGGCAACGAUGCGUAGCCGACCUGAGAGGGUGAUCGGCCACACGGGAACUGAGACACGGUCGAGACUCCUACGGGGGGCAGCAGUAGGGAAUCUUACGCAAUGGGCGAAAGCCUGACGGUGCAACGCCGCGUGAGUGAUGAAGGUCUUCGGAUCGUAAAACUCUGUUAUUAGGGAAGAACAAAUGUGUAAGUAACUAUGCACGUCUUGACGGUACCUAAUCAGAAAGCCACGGCUAACUACGUG
RNAcentral lists this ribosomal RNA (497 nucleotides) under uncultured bacterium. RNAcentral describes it as "partial 16S ribosomal RNA". It matches the Rfam family "Bacterial small subunit ribosomal RNA", at positions 28 to 507 of the family's 1533-position model. The record is from RNAcentral.